UGUGAGGGGGGAGAGAUAAAAGGAAAAGGAAGGGGCACACGCUCUAUCUUGGGGCUACGAUCAUGGUCAGAGACCAACAGAAGGAGCAUGCUCAGUUCUUGGCUUCUCACGUUUGAUGGAGUAUCAUGCAACAGAGUUCUCUGUAAUGAUCUGAGCCACAGAGAGGCACAAACAACAGAGAUUACUUGCCUCAAGUGUUCCAAGAGGACACUGAAUCAUUUAGAAACACACGAGAAGCCUCAGUGGCACAGAUUCCCAGCACUCCAGCCAUCUGGAUUUGAACUGCUGCUAUGGAACCCUGACUUUAAGUUCACAGAGCCCACGGGAGGACUACCAAGGUGUGAUCUUGCUGUCUAUUCAUAAGGAGUUUACUGUGUGGAGGGUAAAAAUCACUCAUCUCCCAGUGGAGGAUCAAAGCUAGCCCUUCUCGUCAUGCAAUCAGAAUGGCUUGGAGAGAAGAGAUGUGAGAUGACAGACUGGAGACAGUUCAUAGGAGACCUGGACUUUCAACUUUUGAUGUUAUGAUCUUGUGAAAGUGGCACAAAGGCUGCACAAAAAAAACCCCGGUUUUAAUUUUUCCUUUGCCUAGAUAGAUGCUGAGCAGUGCCAGAAGCUAUAGCUCCCAGCAAAUCAUGUCAUAUGAAUGGUCUCCACAGCAUAUGCCCAUCUUUGAAGUGAGGGGGAUUAGUGUACUGACUGCUCUUUCCACUUAACUUUUCAAGUUAAGAUGGGUUUAUGAGAGCAUAAUCCCAGCUAAACUGAAGGGCAUCUGGACAUGUCCUUGGGUUUAAAGACAUCAGUUGAGCCAUUAUAAAAUGCAUAAGGCAAGUGUGGAGACAACCAGUUAUACAAGUAUGGAGCAGAAUUUGGAGCCACACAUCCAGGCUUUCUUUUCAAAGUCUGGGAGCCUCCCAAAGGGUCAAGCUCCCACCCCCCUCCACUGUUUGUGUCCAUGUGACAGAGUACAGCCACUGCCCAACUGGCUGGAAAAUUGGGCUUUGCCUAGUUCACAGAUGAUGAGCCCACUGGUGACCUGUGUCCUUGCGUAGUUUGUAUCGUAUUUGCACAUCUAGUGUCGUCAGUGACCUGAUAUGGAACAGCGAACUGCAAGCAUGGACAGCGCAAGGACUGCAUCUGAAGUCUGGACUGGCCUCUGCACUCUGCACUCAGGGUUCAUUUUGUGUUGUCUCCAUUCUGGGAACCGGCCAGAGGUAGACAAAUUGGUGUUGCAUCAGGGCCUAGACAUAUGGUUCAGUGGUUAAGGGCACUUUAAGAGGGCCUGGACUUGGUUGUAAGCACUCACAUGCCUGAUGCUGUAAUGAUAAAUGGCACACUUACUCACAAGAUACCAAACAAGUAACCCAGAUGAGCCCAGAAGUUUUCCGCUGCUGAACUGGAAGCCAAAUCUGGAAAAAAAAGACCAAGACUUCCGCUGUUCAAUCUUUUAUGCCUUCUCCCGUAACGCCCCCCUAACCAUGCCCAAAAGUAG
Molecule: long non-coding RNA, 1489 nt
Organism: Mesocricetus auratus (golden hamster)
Lineage: Eukaryota; Metazoa; Chordata; Mammalia; Rodentia; Cricetidae
Exons: 3
Source: RefSeq, a predicted model, not a curated record